CUGGUGGCCUCUUUCUAUAAUUGGCUUAUUAUUGAUCCAGGCUUACUUCAUACAACUGUUAUUGUUGAUAAACAUGAGGAGAAUCUUUGGAAAACCAUAGUAAUCAUUCACAUUUAAAUAGCUAUGGUAGGUUGUUGCUAAAUUUACCUGAAGAAGUUUUCAGAUGACCUCGAGUAUGACUUUAUGACAUAGGCAAUUAAUAUUUUGCUUUACUACAGCAAUUCCUUGCUAGAAAUUGUGCUUAAGUUUCAGGAUUUCAUAUUAGGACAGCACUUGCAAU
RNAcentral lists this long non-coding RNA (280 nucleotides) under Bos taurus (domestic cattle). RNAcentral's name for it is "long non-coding RNA NONBTAT008160". The record is from RNAcentral. Lineage: Eukaryota; Metazoa; Chordata; Mammalia; Artiodactyla; Bovidae.